RNAcentral lists this RNase P RNA (355 nucleotides) under Lachnospiraceae bacterium. Its description in RNAcentral is "RNase P RNA component class A". It matches the Rfam family "Bacterial RNase P class A". From Rfam's summary of the family: Ribonuclease P (RNase P) is a ubiquitous endoribonuclease, found in archaea, bacteria and eukarya as well as chloroplasts and mitochondria. Its best characterised activity is the generation of mature 5'-ends of tRNAs by cleaving the 5'-leader elements of precursor-tRNAs. Lineage: Bacteria; Bacillati; Bacillota; Clostridia; Lachnospirales; Lachnospiraceae. The record is from RNAcentral.
UUAGUAAGACAGAUGGUCGCGGCUGCACAGACGAAAGGGUGCAGGUGAGGAAAGUCCGGGCUUCAUAGGGCAGGGUGCCAGAUAACGUCUGGUGGAGGUGACUCCAAGGCUAGUGCAACAGAAAUAAACAGCAUUGCCCGCAAGGGCGGUGUGAUGGUGGAAAGGCAGUGUAAGAGACUACCGCCUCUCUGGUAACAGCGAGGGCAUAUGUAAACCCCACUCGAAGCAAGACCGAAUAGAAACGUUUAAAAGCUGCCCGCUUAGUUUCAGGUAGGUCGCUUGAUUCUAAUGGCGACAUUAGAACUAGAUAGAUGAUCAUCUAAUACAUAACCCGGCUUAUAGUUUUGCUGAAUAU